Molecule: ribosomal RNA, 1689 nt
Filed under: Escherichia coli
Lineage: Bacteria; Pseudomonadati; Pseudomonadota; Gammaproteobacteria; Enterobacterales; Enterobacteriaceae
Description: partial 23S ribosomal RNA
Rfam family: Bacterial large subunit ribosomal RNA
Source: RNAcentral
CCUGCGAAGGUGUGCUGUGAGGCAUGCUGGAGGUAUCAGAAGUGCGAAUGCUGACAUAAGUAACGAUAAAGCGGGUGAAAAGCCCGCUCGCCGGAAGACCAAGGGUUCCUGUCCAACGUUAAUCGGGGCAGGGUGAGUCGACCCCUAAGGCGAGGCCGAAAGGCGUAGUCGAUGGGAAACAGGUUAAUAUUCCUGUACUUGGUGUUACUGCGAAGGGGGGACGGAGAAGGCUAUGUUGGCCGGGCGACGGUUGUCCCGGUUUAAGCGUGUAGGCUGGUUUUCCAGGCAAAUCCGGAAAAUCAAGGCUGAGGCGUGAUGACGAGGCACUGCGGUGCUGAAGCAACAAAUGCCCUGCUUCCAGGAAAAGCCUCUAAGCAUCAGGUAACAUCAAAUCGUACCCCAAACCGACACAGGUGGUCAGGUAGAGAAUACCAAGGCGCUUGAGAGAACUCGGGUGAAGGAACUAGGCAAAAUGGUGCCGUAACUUCGGGAGAAGGCACGCUGAUAUGUAGGUGAAGUCCCUCGCGGAUGGAGCUGAAAUCAGUCGAAGAUACCAGCUGGCUGCAACUGUUUAUUAAAAACACAGCACUGUGCAAACACGAAAGUGGACGUAUACGGUGUGACGCCUGCCCGGUGCCGGAAGGUUAAUUGAUGGGGUUAGCGCAAGCGAAGCUCUUGAUCGAAGCCCCGGUAAACGGCGGCCGUAACUAUAACGGUCCUAAGGUAGCGAAAUUCCUUGUCGGGUAAGUUCCGACCUGCACGAAUGGCGUAAUGAUGGCCAGGCUGUCUCCACCCGAGACUCAGUGAAAUUGAACUCGCUGUGAAGAUGCAGUGUACCCGCGGCAAGACGGAAAGACCCCGUGAACCUUUACUAUAGCUUGACACUGAACAUUGAGCCUUGAUGUGUAGGAUAGGUGGGAGGCUUUGAAGUGUGGACGCCAGUCUGCAUGGAGCCGACCUUGAAAUACCACCCUUUAAUGUUUGAUGUUCUAACGUUGACCCGUAAUCCGGGUUGCGGACAGUGUCUGGUGGGUAGUUUGACUGGGGCGGUCUCCUCCUAAAGAGUAACGGAGGAGCACGAAGGUUGGCUAAUCCUGGUCGGACAUCAGGAGGUUAGUGCAAUGGCAUAAGCCAGCUUGACUGCGAGCGUGACGGCGCGAGCAGGUGCGAAAGCAGGUCAUAGUGAUCCGGUGGUUCUGAAUGGAAGGGCCAUCGCUCAACGGAUAAAAGGUACUCCGGGGAUAACAGGCUGAUACCGCCCAAGAGUUCAUAUCGACGGCGGUGUUUGGCACCUCGAUGUCGGCUCAUCACAUCCUGGGGCUGAAGUAGGUCCCAAGGGUAUGGCUGUUCGCCAUUUAAAGUGGUACGCGAGCUGGGUUUAGAACGUCGUGAGACAGUUCGGUCCCUAUCUGCCGUGGGCGCUGGAGAACUGAGGGGGGCUGCUCCUAGUACGAGAGGACCGGAGUGGACGCAUCACUGGUGUUCGGGUUGUCAUGCCAAUGGCACUGCCCGGUAGCUAAAUGCGGAAGAGAUAAGUGCUGAAAGCAUCUAAGCACGAAACUUGCCCCGAGAUGAGUUCUCCCUGACUCCUUGAGAGUCCUGAAGGAACGUUGAAGACGACGACGUUGAUAGGCCGGGUGUGUAAGCGCAGCGAUGCGUUGAGCUAACCGGUACUAAUGAACCGUGAGG